Molecule: ribosomal RNA, 424 nt
Filed under: uncultured bacterium
Lineage: Bacteria
Description: bacterial SSU rRNA
Rfam family: Bacterial small subunit ribosomal RNA
Source: RNAcentral
GGGGAAUAUUGGACAAUGGGGGCAACCCUGAUCCAGCACUGCCGCGUGUGUGAAGAAGGCCUGCGGGUUGUAAAGCACUUUCCUGAGGAAAGAACACGGGUGGGGUGAAUAGCCUCAUCAACUGACGGUACUUCAGGAAUAAGCACCGGCUAACUCCGUGCCAGCAGCCGCGGUAAUACGGAGGGUGCAAGCGUUGUUCGGAAUUACUGGGCGUAAAGGGCGCGUAGGCGGCCUGCUAAGUCGAACGUGAAAUCCCUGGGCUCAACCCAGGAACUGCGUCCGAUACUGGUUGGCUUGAAUCCGGGAGAGGGAUGUGGAAUUCCAGGUGUAGCGGUGAAAUGCGUAGAUAUCUGGAGGAACACCGGUGGCGAAGGCGACAUCCUGGACCGGUAUUGACGCUGAGGCGCGAAAGCCAGGGGAGCAA